GGUCGGGGCCGCCCACGAAGGGGCUGCAUUUUUCAUCUGCAGCACGCUUUCUCUCAAGAAUCUCAAGCACACACAAGAAACCAGAGAGUAAAAUCACUGAGGCGUGAACACAUCCAGAGACCAAGGGCGUCACUGGCAGAAAAGCUUUUAGGCGGAUCCACGGCCCGAGAGCCACCCUGCCCAGAGACGCGGUUUCCUAGGAGCAGUUCACACGCGGCUCUGCAGCACCCACAAGCGGGGCCAGGGGCUGGUUUUCAUAGUUCACAGUCUGCAGGGAUCUUAACAAAAACAUGGCCGUGGUAAAAGUGCCUAGACCAGGCUUUCGUCACAACUCAGUGAGUAGGAAGACUAGUUAGGCUGAUGAAAAGCUCUGAUGAUGUGUGAUUAAAAGUAGGAAAACGUGGUUGCCAAAUAAAAUAUUUUACUAUAUAGUCAGGGGGAGAGAUGGGGAUAAAAAAAUGUGGAAACCAUUUAUUUUAAAAUUUUGACUGUUCCUGCAGUGUUUAAAAUAUAGGAGAUAUAUUCUGAUUAUCUUUAGAAAGAAACUGCUCUCAAUCUAUUUGUAUGUCUUCCCUCUGGUUUUAAAAUAUUAAACAAUCAUCUAACUCAAUAUUUAAUUUUACCUCUAGUCAUGUUACUAGGUUAGGAUAAUAAAAAGGACUGUGAACUUCACAUCUGCCAUCUAUAAUAGAUUCUUAUUGUAGCAAUCUUGCACCAAGGGGAUUUCUUUAUUAACUCUGCCAAAUUUUCCAAAAUUACCAAAUGGAGAAAAGAGCUGGUCCCAUCUGUCACCAGGCACAACCAGUUUGGAACCAAAACUGCAGUGUCCCCAAGGCAUGCCUGUAGGUAAACAUGAGUCCAUACUGAUAAAUGAUCGAAUAAACAGGAGAGAAGAAACAAAUCUUCAAGAAGAAUAACAUGCACAGAUACUGCUCUCUCCAGGGGUUGGAGCUGAAACCUCCUCAACCCACAGAGUAUGGAAAGGGAAAAACAGGAACUUGACAGUGGAGAAAUCUGGCAGACACCACUGUGACCAGGUGGCCAAGGUCAGCACUGCCUGGGAUAGGUCGUGUGGUGGUUACAACCACCCAGUAGGAUGUGAUGAGAAAGGUGCUUGAGAAACACAUCAAACUCCAAUUGAGGGACAUUCUACAGACUACCUGGCCAGUACUCCUCAAAACUGUCAAGGUCAUGAGAAACAAGGGAAGUCUGAGAAACUGUCACAGGCAAGAGAACGCAAAGGAGAUGGGAUGACUAAAUGCAGUAUGUGCCUGGAUGGGACUCUGGGACAGAAAGCAGACAUUACGGAAAAACUGGUGAAAUCCAAAUCAAGGCUGGAUUUUAGUGAAUGGACACUAACAAUGUUGGUUUCUUAGUCAUGACAAAUGUACCAUGGGAAGAGAAGAGGUUACCAAUGGGGGAAACUAGGUGAGGGGCACACAUAAGCUCUCUGUACUAUCUCUGCCAUUUUUCUGUAAAUCAAAAAUUAGUCCAAAAUAAAAGUUUAUUGGAAAAGAAAAAAAAAGACAUAACAGAUGG
RNAcentral lists this long non-coding RNA (1539 nucleotides) under Homo sapiens (human). RNAcentral's name for it is "non-protein coding lnc-RASA3-8:1". Lineage: Eukaryota; Metazoa; Chordata; Mammalia; Primates; Hominidae. The record is from RNAcentral.